Long non-coding RNA from Cornus florida, 2169 nucleotides. RefSeq lists it as uncharacterized. The transcript is spliced from 2 exons. The record is from RefSeq and is a predicted model, not a curated record. Lineage: Eukaryota; Viridiplantae; Streptophyta; Magnoliopsida; Cornales; Cornaceae.
GAUUUUCAACCCUAAACCCUAUUUUUUAUUCAUUUUCUCUCUCCUCCCUUCUUUUCUUUUUCUUUUUCUUUUUCUUUUCUUUUCUUCUUUCUUUCUCUCUCUUUCUACCUCUUCUUCUCCCUUGUAACUCUCGGCACUCUCUCUCCCUAUAACCCUCCCUCUCUCAAACUCUCUUCUCACUCUCUCAAUCUCUCAUCCCUCUAUAUCUCUCCCUCAUCUCCAGCAAGGACGAACCCAACCCACCUAACCUCACCAUAUCUUCAUCACCGACGAAGACCUACCCAAGCAAAGCCACCGUCUCCAUAGCCAAGCUCGUUUUCAUCUCCCUGGCCCUAUCUCUCUUGGAUUCUCUCAUCCUCAUUGUCUCUGGCAGAUGUAGGCCAAGAAGACCCCGAUCUCUCACUCUGGUGUCGUCUGCAAUUUUCGGCGAACUUCCAGUGAGGUUCCGGUCACCACUUCCGGCCAAGAUUAGGCCGGAAUUCUUCAUUUCAUCUCGAAUCUCUCCGUUUCAAUCCUCUAUUCCAUCUUUUGGAUCGGCCUCCUCAAUCUCCUCCGAUAGAGUCUUCUUCAUCUUCCUAGGCUACACCAUCUGCAUCAGCUCAUUUCGAGCCAGCUUUUAUGGAGGAGCAAAGCCCAGUUGUCAGAGCAGUACCUAGACCAUUUUUCUCUAACAGGAAGCUUAAACUAGAGUUCAAAUUCGACCAUGCUCAAUUUUCCAAGUUGGAGCAGACCAAGUGGUCUUUUGAUAAGCUCACCCGAAGGGGCAUUGAUGCCCUUAUGACUCUGGUAGACAUUGUAGUCUAUCCUCGGUUGGUUGCUCUAUUCUUCGAGUACCUCCGGAUCGAUGAGGAUAACAGACAGCUUAUGCAUACAACUAUAGAUGGUAUGAUAUCAACAAUUAUAUCCCUGACAUUUCUGUUAUUUGUCGAUGCCCCACCUUCCACCGUUGGUCGCUAACUCUAAGGAGCCAUUUUAUCCCAUUAUUCCGAAGUACCCCUCUAAGUUAACCAUGGUUGCGACUAUAUCUCCGUAUGCUGCCUUUGAGGGUAAUACAUUUGCAGACCGGAUUGAGAUUGAUCCCCGAUACUUGUUUCAAGAUUUUUUGCUACAUCUCAAUGCCUUUCCCUCAGGCCAUGGUACACAGAGACGGGAGGGGAUUUUUAGGGCUCUUUACUAUUUGAGCCAAGGAAACUGGAUCUCCAUUCCCGCUCUUAUCCGGGAGAUUAUCAACAAAUACUGGGCCAACAUGAUGAACAUGCACAAUUCUAGAGCUGAUGCUUAGCCACUACCAUUUGGCCACUUGAUUACACAGUUGUUGAUUGACCAGGGCUAUCCCUUUGAACCGGAUGAGAUUCCUGAGACUGAUGUGUAGAGAGCUAGGAGAGCAUAUAACAUUACAAAAUGGAAUAAGACUUUAAAUUUUUGUAGAAAGAAUACAGAUCAGAAGAGGAAGCAAGAUCAGGAGAGAGCUUAGGAGGAUGCAGCGGCAGCGGAGGCAGCUGAGGGACUUGAUGGAUCACCUCUUUAGACAGAGGCGUCGUACUACUACUUCCGCAUCCACCUCACAGCCAGAUAUACCCCUUCCAUCCCAGCAAGCCGACCCUUCACAUGUUCCUUCUCCAGAGCAGAUGCCACAGGCUGAUUCUCGAUCCCAUUAUGCUAGUUUUGAUUUCAGCUACAAAGUUGACAUAGUUCAGCUAUAGACAGACUUUAUUUCUUUUAGAGCUGACAUGACUGGGCGGCAUGGGGACAUCACGAGGAGUCAUGAUGACCUGGUGCAGAGACAUGAUGAUAUGGUGAGGUGACAUGAGGAUAUGGUUCGGCGAUCUGAUGAGCUGAGGACUGAGGUUACCGAGGUGAAGAGAGACAUUGCUACACUACGGGCAGAUUUACAGACUGAUCUCACUCGAUACAACAAGUAGAUGUCCGAUAUGCUACAGCACAUUGCCGACAUGAUGACGCCUGAUCCUGCUCCUUAAUUCCACCAUUAUCUCUAUCUCUAUCCCUAUCUGUAUUAAUCAUACCUGCGCUGAUACAUUGAUAUUUUGAUACAUUGCUAUUUUGGGAUAUUUUUGUACUGUUUUGAUAUUUGCACUGGUUUUUGAUACUUUGGAUAUUUUUGCACUGCAUUGGAUAUAUUUAAUUUUUGGAUAUUUGGUUUUGGAUUUC